Molecule: long non-coding RNA, 732 nt
Filed under: Homo sapiens (human)
Lineage: Eukaryota; Metazoa; Chordata; Mammalia; Primates; Hominidae
Description: novel transcript
Source: RNAcentral
AGGGAAUGUUUACUUUGCCUCCACUUCUGUUCCUCCCCGCCCUGGUGCUGCUCCGGGUCACAUACUCGUCCUGAGCCGGCUUCAGCCUCUCCGCGCAGAAGUCUCCCGGAGCCGACUUCUGAGAGUCGAGUACUCCUAUGUGAAGACUACCAAGCUCGUGUUCAAGGGAACCAAGGCGAAGAGGCGAGAUGGAAAGAAAGUAUCAAGGAGUGAGCUGAAGCCACUGCCCUUGAGAACCCUCUCGAGGAGUCUGGGCUCAUGAGGAUGCCAGAAUAAGUGGCAGUAAGAAGAAAAAGAACAAAGAUAAGAAAAGAAAAAGAGAAGAAGAUGAAGAAACCCAGCUUGAUAUAAUCACCCUGAAAUCUGGCUAUGGAAAAUAUCUUGGUAUAAAUUCAGAUGAACUUGUUGUUGGGCGUUCAGAUGCAAUUGGACCAAGAGAACAAUGGGAACCAGUCUUUAAAAUUGGGAAAAUGGCUUUGUCGACCUCAAAUAGCUGCUUUAUUAGAUACAGUGAAGCAGAGGACAUAGAAGCAAAAAGUAAAACAGCAGGAGAAGAAGAAAUGAUCAAGGCUCUCCUAAUCUCUGUCAGACCUUCACCUUUAUGACCUUGCCUUAUCUACCAGAACACAGAUCCCUCUUACUAAAGAUUAGAUCCUGUGCUGAAAGAGAAACCAAGAAAAAAGAUGACAUUCCAGAAGAAGACAAAGGAAAUAUAAAACAAUGUGAAAUCAA